CUGCUCUUCGUUGUGUUUUUUUCUAUUUGUUUAAUUUGGUUUGUGUUGUGUGGAUCCCAAAUGGAAGUUUUGGCCUGACUAAUGCUUGGUAUGCGUGUUCUUUUAUAAGUGGUGUUGUCAAAACCAUGUUAUCACUAAAAAGUUGACCGCUGGUCAUGCAGUUUGCGUGCUUACAUUUCGUCCACUGUAUCGCCUCCUAUCUGUGAACGGAAGAAGAACUUGUUAGCUUGCAUAUCAUCAUAUAAGCACAACAGCACACGCAGCUUCUAUCCGACCAAGGUCCAAAUUAACCGUGCGUUCUAACGUCAUCUUACACGGAGAAAAAACAGUGUUUUCAUGUUCAGCUGAUCGUUGGGCAGCACAUGUGUCGUCGGUGAGACCAAUCUCUUAGAGAGGUUUUCUACAUUCCCUGAAUAUAUACUGUGGAAGACGCGCUAUAACCUUGCUGCAGCUUUCUUCGAAUACUAUUACUAUCCAGGAGACUGCAUCAGGUGCACUUUAUGCGCAGCCAUGCAUCU
This is a long non-coding RNA of Mizuhopecten yessoensis (Yesso scallop), 518 nucleotides long. RefSeq lists it as uncharacterized. The record is from RefSeq and is a predicted model, not a curated record. The transcript is spliced from 4 exons. Lineage: Eukaryota; Metazoa; Mollusca; Bivalvia; Pectinida; Pectinidae.